This 65-nucleotide transfer RNA is filed under the name Salix viminalis (osier). It matches the Rfam family "tRNA". Rfam says of the family: Transfer RNA (tRNA) molecules are approximately 80 nucleotides in length. Lineage: Eukaryota; Viridiplantae; Streptophyta; Magnoliopsida; Malpighiales; Salicaceae. The record is from RNAcentral.
GCACCAGUGGUUAUGAGAUAGUACCUGCCACGGUACAGACCCGGGUUCGAUUCCCGGCUGGUGCA